RNAcentral lists this ribosomal RNA (460 nucleotides) under uncultured bacterium. RNAcentral's name for it is "partial 16S ribosomal RNA". It matches the Rfam family "Bacterial small subunit ribosomal RNA", at positions 338 to 795 of the family's 1533-position model. The record is from RNAcentral.
CCUACGGGAGGCAGCAGUGAGGAAUAUUGGUCAAUGGUCGUGAGCCUGAACCAGCCAAGUAGCGUGAAGGAUGACGGCCCUACGUGUUGUAAACUUCUUUUAUCAGGGAAUAAGGUGCGGCACGUGUGCUUUUUUGUAGGUACCUUAUGAAUAAGGAUCGGCUAAAUCCGUGCCAGCAGCCGCGGUAAUACGGAGGAUCCGAGCGUUAUCCGGAUUUAUUGGGUUUAAAGGGAGCGUAGGCGGGCUGUGAAGGCAGCUGUGAAAUUGCGUGGCUCAACCCUAGAAUUGCGGUGAGAACUGGCUGGCGUGAGUGCGGGUAGGGUAGGCGGAAUUCGUGGUGUAGCGGUGAAAUGCUUAGAUAUCACGAAGAACUCCGAGUGCGAAGGCAGCAUACGGGAGCGCAACUGACGCUGAUGCUCGAAAGCGUGGGUAUCGAACAGGAUUAGAUACCCGUGUAGUC